This 1134-nucleotide ribosomal RNA is filed under the name Lactiplantibacillus pentosus. RNAcentral describes it as "bacterial SSU rRNA". It matches the Rfam family "Bacterial small subunit ribosomal RNA", at positions 51 to 1173 of the family's 1533-position model. The record is from RNAcentral. Lineage: Bacteria; Bacillati; Bacillota; Bacilli; Lactobacillales; Lactobacillaceae.
AUUAAUGCAAGUCGAACGAACUCUGGUAUUGAUUGGUGCUUGCAUCAUGAUUUACAUUUGAGUGAGUGGCGAACUGGUGAGUAACACGUGGGAAACCUGCCCAGAAGCGGGGGAUAACACCUGGAAACAGAUGCUAAUACCGCAUAACAACUUGGACCGCAUGGUCCGAGUUUGAAAGAUGGCUUCGGCUAUCACUUUUGGAUGGUCCCGCGGCGUAUUAGCUAGAUGGUGGGGUAACGGCUCACCAUGGCAAUGAUACGUAGCCGACCUGAGAGGGUAAUCGGCCACAUUGGGACUGAGACACGGCCCAAACUCCUACGGGAGGCAGCAGUAGGGAAUCUUCCACAAUGGACGAAAGUCUGAUGGAGCAACGCCGCGUGAGUGAAGAAGGGUUUCGGCUCGUAAAACUCUGUUGUUAAAGAAGAACAUAUCUGAGAGUAACUGUUCAGGUAUUGACGGUAUUUAACCAGAAAGCCACGGCUAACUACGUGCCAGCAGCCGCGGUAAUACGUAGGUGGCAAGCGUUGUCCGGAUUUAUUGGGCGUAAAGCGAGCGCAGGCGGUUUUUUAAGUCUGAUGUGAAAGCCUUCGGCUCAACCGAAGAAGUGCAUCGGAAACUGGGAGACUUGAGUGCAGAAGAGGACAGUGGAACUCCAUGUGUAGCGGUGAAAUGCGUAGAUAUAUGGAAGAACACCAGUGGCGAAGGCGGCUGUCUGGUCUGUAACUGACGCUGAGGCUCGAAAGUAUGGGUAGCAAACAGGAUUAGAUACCCUGGUAGUCCAUACCGUACACGAUGAAUGCUAAGUGUUGGAGGGUUUCCGCCCUUCAGUGCUGCAGCUAACGCAUUAAGCAUUCCGCCUGGGAGUACGGCCGCAAGGCUGACACUCAAAGGAAUUGACGAGGGCCCGCACAAGCGGUGGAGCAUGUGGUUCAAUUCGAAGCUACGCGAAGAACCUUACCAGGUCUUGACAUACUAUGCAGAUCUAAGAGUUAGACGUUCCUUCGGGAAAUGGAUACAGGCGUGCAGGUUGUCGUCAGCUCGGUCGUGGAAGUGGGUUAGUCCGCACGAGCCCACCCUUAUAUCGGUGCAGCUUAAGUGGGCCUCUGUGGGACUGCCGUUACAACCGGAGAAGGG